GAGUUUGAUCCUGGCUCAGGAUGAACGCUAGCGACAGGCCUAACACAUGCAAGUCGAGGGGCAGCACAUAGGUAGCAAUACUUUGGUGGCGACCGGCGCACGGGUGAGUAACACGUAUGCAACCUACCUGUAAGCGGGGGAUAACCCGGAGAAAUUCGGACUAAUACCGCAUAAUACCGAUUAACUGCAUGGUUGAUUGGUUAAAUAUUUAUAGCUUACAGAUGGGCAUGCGUAACAUUAGCUAGUUGGUGAGGUAACGGCUCACCAAGGCAACGAUGUUUAGGGGUUCUGAGAGGAAGGUCCCCCACACUGGUACUGAGACACGGACCAGACUCCUACGGGAGGCAGCAGUGAGGAAUAUUGGUCAAUGGGCGAGAGCCUGAACCAGCCAAGUCGCGUGAAGGAAGAGUGUCCUAUGGAUUGUAAACUUCUUUUGUAAGGGAAUAAAAAAGGUCACGUGUGGCCUCUUGUAUGUACUUUACGAAUAAGGAUCGGCUAACUCCGUGCCAGCAGCCGCGGUAAUACGGAGGAUCCGAGCGUUAUCCGGAUUUAUUGGGUUUAAAGGGUGCGUAGGCGGACCCUUAAGUCAGUGGUGAAAGUUCGCAGCUCAACUGUAAAAUUGCCAUUGAAACUGAGGGUCUUGAGUGUAAAUGAGGUAGGCGGAAUGUGCCUGUGUA
Molecule: ribosomal RNA, 677 nt
Filed under: uncultured bacterium
Lineage: Bacteria
Description: bacterial SSU rRNA
Rfam family: Bacterial small subunit ribosomal RNA
Source: RNAcentral